Molecule: transfer RNA, 58 nt
Filed under: Mongoloniscus sinensis
Lineage: Eukaryota; Metazoa; Arthropoda; Malacostraca; Isopoda; Agnaridae
Description: tRNA-Met
Source: RNAcentral
UUUAAGAUAAGCUAAAAAAGCUAAUGGGUUCAUACCUCAUUGAUGGUAACUUAUAAUA